RNAcentral lists this long non-coding RNA (1152 nucleotides) under Arachis ipaensis. RNAcentral's name for it is "long non-coding RNA (AIPA_LNC001533)". Lineage: Eukaryota; Viridiplantae; Streptophyta; Magnoliopsida; Fabales; Fabaceae. The record is from RNAcentral.
GACACGAGAAGACAAACAAAAUGUAUUGGAUAUCAAAAGGUAGAAUAAUAUAUACAAAUAAAUAGAAAAAAUGUAUCAAAAUAAAAGGUAAACUGAUCUAGAGAACCAAAGAUAGAAGUGUAUCCAAAAUAAACGGUAGACUAAUCACGUGCAGCAGAUGCUCAUGUCCCACCAAGACCAAUGGACCCCUAGUAUAUUCUGUCGACAUCUCGUUUAGAUCAACUCGACUCAUAUCCGUCGCAGACCUGUACUCUCUUCCACCAUGAGGUGAUGCAAGCUGUUGAGGCGAUCGACAUGGCUGAGAUGACCUAGAAUUAUAUCCGAAAAAGCAGGUAAUACCAUCUAUCAUAAAAGGCUCCAAGGCACUCUCCACCAAAUUAACAGUAGGCAUAUCCGAAAACAACUAAGACCCAAAAUCAUGCAUCGAAGAAUACACACUACCAUGUGUCAGAUGAGAACUCGAUCCUCCAAACUCAUAUAAGAAUUGUGAUAAAGAUCCGCCUUCUCUACUAAUACCACCUUCAAAACCUUCGCUACCUCCCUAAACUUGCACCACUUGGCUUGCGGGCUUUCGCUGGGUGGGGUGGGUGCUUGCUUUUUCAUUUUUAAAAAAGUAAAAGUAAAAGUAAAUUCCAUACGAAUUCGUUAAACAAAAUUAAGAAAAUCCUAGUUCACUAACAGAAUACAACAACAUAGACUCAAACACAAACUCCCUCUCCUUCUCCCACAAACGUAAAAUGGCCCCCUCUUUCUCAUCUUAGACUUCAGCCACACCUAGAGGCCAGGCCUCCGCUACGACGACGAUGACGCCACCUAGAACAUUUUCUCUAGUUGUGUUCCAUUAGCGACAUGAGUAUGUGAUCACAACUCCCUAUUCUUUUCUCGCAAACGGCGACCUCUGCUCGGUAGGAACGACCUCUGCUCACGUGCUUGGUCUACUCUACUUGGUCUUUUCCAUGUAACCCACACUGCUGCUCAAUCUCCUUUGUUCAGUCAGCCACAUCUCUUCAAAUCUCAAUCAUGUUUUCUUCUUACCUCAGACCUUAGUGAUAAUCUGCGACUACCUACUUAUACCCUUGGCCCUCCCUCUCUUCCAGGUUGCUCCAUCCAUCUUUAAUAUUUUAUUUUCAGUUAAGAUCCAUGUUAGCCCCU